RNAcentral lists this ribosomal RNA (711 nucleotides) under Triticum aestivum (bread wheat). RNAcentral describes it as "partial small subunit ribosomal RNA". The record is from RNAcentral. Lineage: Eukaryota; Viridiplantae; Streptophyta; Magnoliopsida; Poales; Poaceae.
AUGGGCACAAGCAUUCGCUUCAGCACAACUUUUCAUCCUCAAACUAGUGGCCAAGUCGAGCGAGUCAAUCAAAUUUUUGAAGAUAUGCUCAAGGCUUGUGUCAUUUCUUUCGGUAUGAAGUGGGAAGAUUGUCUUCCAUAUGCCGAGUUCUCCUACAACAACAGCUUCCAAGCGAGUUCGGGCAAGGCCCCAUUCGAGAUUCUAUAUGGCAGAAAGUGUCGUACUCCUCUUAACUGGUCAGAGACUGGUGAACGCCAACUUCUUGGCAAUGACUUGAUCAUAGAGGUUGAAGAAAUGUGCAAAGUCAUUCGCGAAAAUCUCAAAGCCGCGCAAUCGCGCCAGAAGAGUUACUAUGAUAGCAAGCAUCGUGACUUGGCUUUCGAGAUCGGAGACCAUGUCUACCUUCGGGUCUCUCUAAUGAAAGGCACUCGUCGCUUCGGUAUCAAAGGGAAGCUUGCCCGUAGAUACGUGGGUCCUUUCAAGAUCAUUGGUAAAAGUGGCGAUCUUGCCUAUCAACUUGAGCUUCCAUCCAAUUUUGCAAACGUGCACGACGUGUUUCACGUGUCUCAGCUUUGCAAGUGUUUCAAAACUCCUGACCGCACCAUCAACUUUGAAGAGAUUGAUCUCCAAGAAGACAUGUCUUAUCAUGAGCAUCCCGUUGCUAUUCUUGAAGAAACCGAGCACAAGACUCGCAACAAGUCUAUCAAAUUC